Hypanus sabinus (Atlantic stingray) is the source of this 1314-nucleotide long non-coding RNA. RefSeq lists it as uncharacterized. The transcript has 2 exons. The record is from RefSeq and is a predicted model, not a curated record. NCBI's taxonomy places the organism in Eukaryota, Metazoa, Chordata, Chondrichthyes, Myliobatiformes, Dasyatidae.
CUUGAAGGUUAUCAUCUAGAAUUCUUUCAUUCUCUUCCAACUCAAAGGCUUUGAAAUUGGAAAAGGUUGUGACAGCCAAUGUUGCCCUUAAAUAGGGUUAACAUGGACAGAAAUGCAGAGAUGACUGAUUUGACUUUGGUCACUGUCCUUUCCACCAGUACAUGCCUAGCAAGCCAGGACAAUAUGGAAUAAAGUUAUGGGCAGCCUGUGAUGCACGUUCCAGUUCUGCUUGGAACAUGCAAGUAUAUACUAGGAAGCCAGCUGGAGGAGCCCCGGAGAGAAAACAAGGCAUGCGCUUCGUGUUGCAGAUGACGAAGGGCUAAGGGGACACAAUGUGACCUGUGACAACUUCUUCACAUCUCAUGAACUUGGUCAGGGGCUCCUGAAGAAGAAAAUCACAAUGGUGGGCACUGUGAGGCAGAACAAGCCUGAGCUGCCACCUGCUCUGAUUGCAGCAAGGGGGAGAGACAUCUUCUCUUCUAAGUUCGCUUUCACCCGUGACACCACAGUCGUCUCGGAUAUGCAAAAGAAGAACAAGAAUGUCAUCCUUAUGAGCACAUUACAUAAGGUUGCACUCAGGAGAGCAGAAAACCGGCCAUCAUCCUUGACUACAAUGCCAACAGCGGGGUGGACAACCUUGACAAAGUAACAGGCACAUACAGCUGCAAGAGGAGAACAGCCCGCUUCCCUCUCGCCGAAUUCCAUAACAUCAUUGACAUAUCAACCUACAAUGCCUUUGUCAUAAGGAGUGAGCUGAACCCUACCUGGAGGGCAAGCAAGAGGAACUGGAGGAGGUUCAUAUUGGAGGAGCUUGGAAAGGCCCUUGUGACUCCUUUCAUGCGAAGGCGACACCGCCUUCCCCGCACAGCGGCCUCAGCAGCACUGGAAAGGGCAGAGCAGCGAUCCGAGCCUGGCCCUGAUCAACAGCAAGUCCCACAAGAAGCCAACGCAAGGGACCAGUAGAGAAGGAGAUGCAACUUCUGCUCUGCAAAUCAGGGACAACUUGCUGCAAAUGUGAGAACCACAUAUGCAAGGGCCACACACGCAAGGUUUCCUACCACUGCUUUGAAUGCGAUGACUAGUUUGCAAAUAGCAGUUAUUUUUGUUUUGUUUGUUGGUUAAAUGUUAGUUAAUGUUGAAUUAAUAGUUAAUAGUUAUAAUUAGAUAGUAGUUGUGAGGAAUUUUUUUUAUGAUAUAGCAAUGAGGACAGUGUUUGAUGGUUGUAAUUGUUAUACAGUAAAUGGUUAUAUAAUAAACCCCACAGUUCCAGAAUGUUAUUGUCAUUUUCAGUUUCAAUAAAAUAUAUUUAAAUCA